CCCUUAGAUGUCCUGGGCUGCACGCGCGCUACACUGAUGUGUCCAGUAAGCACCUAACCUAUUCCGAGAGGAGCGGGUAACCUUAGCAAAGCACAUCGUGAUGGGGAUAGAUUAUUGCAAUUAUUAGUCUUGAACGAGGAAUUCCUAGUAAGCACAAGUCAUCAGCUUGUGUUGAUUACGUCCCUGCCCUUUGUACACACCGCCCGUCGCUCCUACCGAUUGAAUGUUCCGGUGAGCUCUUCGGACUGCACGGUCUGCAGUUUCUGCGUUCCGUGCGGAAAGUUGUGCAAACCUUAACAUUUAGAGGAAGGAGAAGUCGUAACA
Molecule: ribosomal RNA, 324 nt
Filed under: uncultured eukaryote
Lineage: Eukaryota
Description: partial 18S ribosomal RNA
Rfam family: Eukaryotic small subunit ribosomal RNA
Source: RNAcentral